This 253-nucleotide ribosomal RNA is filed under the name uncultured bacterium. Its description in RNAcentral is "partial 16S ribosomal RNA". It matches the Rfam family "Bacterial small subunit ribosomal RNA", at positions 524 to 776 of the family's 1533-position model. The record is from RNAcentral.
UACGGAGGGUGCGAGCGUUAUCCGGAAUUACUGGGCGUAAAGCGUACGCAGGCGGCUUCUUAAGUCUGACGUGAAAGCUCCCGGCUUAACUGGGAGAGGUCGUUGGAGACUGGGGGGCUUGAGGCGAUGAGAGGGGUGUAGAAUUCCCGGUGUAGUGGUGGAAUGCGUAGAUAUCGGGAGGAAUACCAGUGGCGAAAGCGACACCCUGGCAUAGGCCUGACGCUCAUGUACGAAAGCGUGGGGAGCAAACGGG